GACAGUGGGAGCGAUGAUAAUGUAGAAUCCAUCACAGUUGACCAGCGGAUUUUCAACUGUAUCCCAAAUUUAACGUGGGGAGCCAAUAAGGAGUCACCUGGACGCCUCAAACAGAAAAGCAGCGCAUUUCUGAGAUUUGCUUGCAGAUGCAAUCUGUCAUGCCAAGAUGAGGGUCACUACAACUGCCAAUUAUGGAAAGUCAAUCAUGCACAAAGAGUAUUGUCUUCCCUCGGUGCCGAGGAAGACUGUCUUGAUCGAUUCCUGGACAAGAUGGUGGAUGUGGAGAAAAUCUACAUUUAGGGUCGAAUCUAUCUAGAGAUGCCUGUGCGUGGGUUUGUGGGAAUCUUGUUUCAUGUCAACAAACAUGCGCUCCUUGACAGAUCCUUAGCCUGCUUUGAUGGCUGGGAAAUCCCAGAUGAUUGGGGUCCAAGAACCUGCUGCAGCCUUCAAACCAUCACCUCCCCCAUCUGAUCCAUUGAUAAGAUGUCACUGGAUGCCAAAAAAAAAAAAAAAAAAAAAAAAUUAAUAUGGUGCCUCCUCCAUAACUUCACCAUCAUCUUUUU
Molecule: long non-coding RNA, 563 nt
Organism: Thalassophryne amazonica
Lineage: Eukaryota; Metazoa; Chordata; Actinopteri; Batrachoidiformes; Batrachoididae
Exons: 2
Source: RefSeq, a predicted model, not a curated record